This 850-nucleotide ribosomal RNA is filed under the name uncultured bacterium. RNAcentral's name for it is "bacterial SSU rRNA". It matches the Rfam family "Bacterial small subunit ribosomal RNA", at positions 600 to 1451 of the family's 1533-position model. The record is from RNAcentral.
UCCCCGGNCUCAACCUGGGAACUGCGUUNUGAACUGGGUGACUAGAGUGUGUCAGAGGGAGGUAGAAUUCCACGUGUAGCAGUGAAAUGCGUAGAGAUGUGGAGGAAUACCGAUGGCGAAGGCAGCCUCCUGGGAUAACACUGACGUUCAUGCCCGAAAGCGUGGGUAGCAAACAGGAUUAGAUACCCUGGUAGUCCACGCCCUAAACGAUGUCGAUUAGCUGUUGGGCAGCAUGACUGCUUAGUAGCGAAGCUAACGCGUGAAAUCGACCGCCUGGGGAGUACGGUCGCAAGAUUAAAACUCAAAGGAAUUGACGGGGACCCGCACAAGCGGUGGAUGAUGUGGAUUAAUUCGAUGCAACGCGAAGAACCUUACCUGGUCUUGACAUGUACGGAACCCUCCAGAGACGGAGGGGUGCCUUCGGGAGCCGUAACACAGGUGCUGCAUGGCUGUCGUCAGCUCGUGUCGUGAGAUGUUGGGUUAAGUCCCGCAACGAGCGCAACCCUUGUCAUUAGUUGCCAUCAUUAAGUUGGGCACUCUAAUGAGACUGCCGGUGACAAGCCGGAGGAAGGUGGGGAUGACGUCAAGUCCUCAUGGCCCUUAUGACCAGGGCUUCACACGUCAUACAAUGGUCGGUACAGAGGGUAGCCAAGCCGCGAGGUGGAGCCAAUCUCACAAAACCGAUCGUAGUCCGGAUUGCACUCUGCAACUCGAGUGCAUGAAGUCGGAAUCGCUAGUAAUCGCAGGUCAGCAUACUGCGGUGAAUACGUUCCCGGGUCUUGUACACACCGCCCGUCGCACCAUGGGAGUGGGGGAUACCAGAAGUAGGUAGGGUAACCGCAAGGAGCCC